Mercenaria mercenaria is the source of this 2168-nucleotide long non-coding RNA. RefSeq lists it as uncharacterized. Lineage: Eukaryota; Metazoa; Mollusca; Bivalvia; Venerida; Veneridae. The transcript is spliced from 2 exons. The record is from RefSeq and is a predicted model, not a curated record.
GAUUUUUAACGACAUUCACCGGUUUCGUAAAGCGGUCGUUUGUUUUGGCGCAAUGCGGAAGUGUCGUCUUGAUGCAGUUUUUUGGCUAAAAAGUUGACGAAUUCUUCGUCUCACAACGUCUGUCAUUUGUUUUACGUUUGCCAUCAGUUUUAGGCAGUAACUGUUAGCUGUCGAGAGUACCGGAACAGACUGUGAAGUAUUUCUAUAGAUCUAAAUAUGGUUCGUAAAAAAGGACAUUUUGUCUGGCAUUCGGAAUUCCUACACUAGUGAUCCAUGAGGACUUUAUCCAGUUUCCAGAAUGGCAGGAAGGAAGGACUUAUUGAAUUGGACCACUUGACAAGGCAGCUUACAAAAGUCAGAAAUUUAAAAGCAGCCACUGGGCGACAGUAAAUUGAAGCUUGUCUACAUUUUCCAUAAAAUUUCCAAAAUAAAUACUGGAAAAAAAACAACAUGGAAAUACAUACGACAUCAAGUUCAACACAAAAUAGCACAGCACCAGAAUGAAUGCGGAAGUUGUCAUGAGUGGUGUGGCAUUGUUCCUGUUCAUUUAUGGUUUACAGAUUCCAAAAGUCUGAACCAGAUAUGAGUAGAGUACAGUUUGAGAAAUGUCUUGGUAGAACAGAUACUAAGGUAAUAAUAAAGAGCAGAACAGACCACAUUUCUUCUUCUUAUAACUAGUAAAGUUCGAAGUAAGGGCGAGUACAAUAAUGCAGCCCCAGUGAGAGUUCGUGAUGAGGUGUCAACUGUAAAUGUGUGGUCGUUAAAUGAUGUGCAGUCAGAUUGACAAGUAUUUGAAGUAACAUUAAUUUAUAAAUUAUCAAUUCUGAGAGGAAUUUUUGCUGAGCUUUGUGCAGGAUACUCUUAAAAAAUACGUGAACCAGAAUUUUAUAUUAUAAGUACAAUGUCAGAUGUACUCCAGACUUCACACAUAUGUUGAUGUUUAUACAUAUGUAGUGAUUAAUUUGUCAAGUGAAGAAACUUUAUGAAUAAUGUUAGUGGGUGACAGAACAGAAGUACAAAGUCAAUUACAGAGGUCGACAACACUGAGUUUAGGAUGCAGAAAAAAUCCGGUGAUUCUGACGAAACAACCUACAUAGAAAGAUUAUACUAGUAAAAUGAAAACUUUUAGUGUAUGGAAAAGUUUGGAAGCAGGUUUACCAUUGACAGAAGAGACAGUAUUUACAGACUGGUCUACACUUAUUUUGAUUUGACUUUUACACGGUGAUUCCUCCAGUAAACAGCUAGUGAUCUGAGAGAAUUGUGUUCAUUAUAUCAUACAGGUUUAGAGUGAAUGUAAAAUUAAUGUGUAUUUAAAUCAAUUAAAAAUUUUCAAAAUUGGAUGUUGAAACUUUACAACUGUUUAGUAUUUCAGUAAUCAGUUAGGAUUUUUGAGUGCUUUCAAUAAAGUACAAAUUAAAAAAAAAAGAAUCACUAUCAGCCAAGAUGAUGUGCUAUUGUAAAAGAUAGAAAGAAAAUUCACAAGUCACAUUAACUUGGUAAAAGGGAUUUUAACAGAAUUAAACUAUAAUUGGUGAAGGAAUCUGCAUGUUGUAUCAAAUAGCUAUAAUGUAUUUUGUAGUUCUUUGGAUGUAUCUUCUAUCUAUCUCUUUUCAAACUAAAUUUUAUCUCUUAAAUCUAUUGAAAUUGCUAUCAAAAUAAAAAUUUCUUUUAAAAACAAUAUAUUUAACAAUUAAAAGGUAUAUUCAACAAGCCAGUACUUUGUUACUAAUCUUAGUCAGUGGAAUUUAUUUUUAGACUUGUCCUAUUUCUUUUUAUUCAGUUUCUGGAUCCCCAUUUAUUAGUUACUGUACACAUUUUGGGAUUCCAGCAAUUUUCCACAUCCUCAUUACAAGGUAGUAUUGAUUUUUCAUUGGUCCAGUGGUUAACUAAUUUUAGCAUAAAGUAAAACUGUUCUAUUAAUAGAUAUUCAGAAAAUCUGUUUGAGUUAUUUAUACCCAGUAUACAAAUUCAUGUACUUUUAUUUGAUUUGAACAUUACUGUUUAAUAUUAUCCUGAACAAAUUACAGGUUUUCUUUGCUUUAUAUUAGAGAAUUUUGGUAAAUUUCGUUGAUGAAAGGUCCAAGGUACUUUUCUCAAAUAGUCAAUUAAUAGAAAUUUUCAAAUAUAAUAUCUUGUGCAGUGAAUUAAAAAGAAAUUUAUUUAUUUCA